Long non-coding RNA from Humulus lupulus (European hop), 1281 nucleotides. RefSeq lists it as uncharacterized. The record is from RefSeq and is a predicted model, not a curated record. The transcript has 6 exons. NCBI's taxonomy places the organism in Eukaryota, Viridiplantae, Streptophyta, Magnoliopsida, Rosales, Cannabaceae.
AAUUUGGAAGGACAUAAAAAAAAUGGCGCACAAUUUUGGAGCAAAUACAUUAAUUGGCGGCAAAUGAAAUAAUUGUGCUAAAUAUUGUAUUAUUUCACUUGUUAUUCUCAUUUUCUAAAUCUACAUAUCUCAUUCUCUCUCUUAACUCUCUGUCUCCCUCACAUCUAUCUAAACCUAGCAGAAAUCUCCCUACCCAAACCCCAAAUUUUCCCAAACCUUUGAGACCUCUCUAAAAAAAUUUCCAAACUUUCCGAGAGGAAAUUCUCCAAAUUUCCCAGAAAUUUCACCACAACCUCAAACUCCCAGAUCUCCCUACCUCUCAUCGAAAUCCCAAAAUUCUAGUCUCUUUAUUUAUCUCGCCAAAUCCCCAAACCCUCUCCUCCUCUCCCUCAAUGUUACCUAUUUCUCACCGCUUCUCUCUUUCUCUCACCGCCUCUUUCUCUUUCACACGGAAUCCCCAGGUAUGUGUAAUCUUUUUCUUAUUUUUUUUUCUUGGUUACCUUUCUCUUUCUCUCACUCAGGGUAUCUCCGGUUUUUGUCCCUCUCUUAGUUACUAUAAGAUUUUUUUUAAUAUCCAUUUUUGUAUUUAUGGGGUAUUUUUAUGCUCCAGUCUCUCUGCUGUGCUCUUAAUUUAUUGUGUUUUUUUUUAGGUCUCACUUCAUUACAAUUAUGGUUGGAAAAAGUUGAUUUAGGGCUUGAUUUAAAAUUUCCAAAAAGGAGAAAGAUCUCUAGAAACUGAAUAAGAAGGUUCGACCCAAGGAAUUCUGUGUUGGAGUGGUCCAUUCUACUUAUUGACAACUCGAACCGAAGGUUGUGAAUGUCUUGCCCCAGAAAGGUGGAGCUCCACCGAAGUUCGAUCAAAGAACGUAGUGAUGUAGGCAAAACUCACAGGUUGCAGGUUGCUGCUUCACUAACAAGGAAGUCGAUGCUCAUAUACCCAAUUACCCCAACUUGCCAUCACAGUUAAUUUGUCAGCUUCACAAUGUGACUAUGCAUGACUGGAUUAAAUUACUAAAAGAAAUGGUGUUGCAAUUUUAAAGUGUGGCCAACCUUAAAGGUUCUACCAUUAUAGGAAAAAGUGUUUCUUCAUAGCCUUGUGGACUAAGUUGAGGAGAAGAAGGAACCACCAAGAACCAGCCACAGUAAGAGGUACAAAUUCAUAGAUUUCCUUAGAAGUUUAGGGUUCCGAUUUUUCGUUUUCAUUUCUUAGGAUGGCUAUUAAUUUGUGGGGCGUUUUAUAUAGUUUUAAUCUGUGUUUAGGGACUAUAAACUUUCAUUAAG